RNAcentral lists this ribosomal RNA (318 nucleotides) under uncultured eukaryote. RNAcentral's name for it is "partial 18S ribosomal RNA". It matches the Rfam family "Eukaryotic small subunit ribosomal RNA", at positions 1470 to 1796 of the family's 1831-position model. The record is from RNAcentral.
CCCUUAGAUGUUCUGGGCAGCACGCGCGCUACAAUGGUCUUCGCAAACGGAUGCAUUCUCGAAGGAGAAUGCCAAUCUUGGAAUCUAUGCCUUGGUCGGGACAGUUGCUUGCAAUUUUUCGACUCGAACCAGGAAUUCCUUGUAAUCGUGAUUCAUCACAUCACGAUGAAUACGUCCCUGCCCUUGUACACACCGCCCGUCGCUCCUACCGAUCGAAGAGUUAGGUGAAUUGUUUUGAUCGAUAAGAUUUGACUAUGGUCAACUCUCGUUGUGAAAUUCUGUGAAUCUGACUGUUUAGAGGAAGGAAAAGUCGUAACA